AGAGUUUGAUCCUGGCUCAGGACGAACGCUGGCGGCACGCUUAACACAUGCAAGUCGAACGAGAGAAGAGGAGCUUGCUUUUCUGAUCUAGUGGCGGACGGGUGAGUAACACGUGAGCAAUCUGCCUUUCAGAGGGGGAUACCGAUUGGAAACGAUCGUUAAUACCGCAUAACAUAAUUGAACCGCAUGAUUUGAUUAUCAAAGAUUUAUCGCUGAAAGAUGAGCUCGCGUCUGAUUAGCUAGUUGGUAAGGUAACGGCUUACCAAGGCGACGAUCAGUAGCCGGACUGAGAGGUUGAUCGGCCACAUUGGGACUGAGACACGGCCCAGACUCCUACGGGAGGCAGCAGUGGGGAAUAUUGCACAAUGGAGGAAACUCUGAUGCAGCGAUGCCGCGUGAGGGAAGAAGGUUUUAGGAUUGUAAACCUCUGUCUUCAGGGACGAAAAAAGACGGUACCUGAGGAGGAAGCUCCGGCUAACUACGUGCCAGCAGCCGCGGUAAUACGUAGGGAGCGAGCGUUGUCCGGAAUUACUGGGUGUAAAGGGAGCGUAGGCGGGAUCGCAAGUCAGAUGUGAAAACUAUGGGCUUAACCCAUAAACUGCAUUUGAAACUGUGGUUCUUGAGUGAAGUAGAGGUAAGCGAAUUCCUAGUGUAGCGGUGAAAUGCGUAGAUAUUAGGAGGAACAUCAGUGGCGAAGGCGGCUUACUGGGCCUUAACUGACGCUGAGGCUCGAAAGCGUGGGGAGCAAACAGGAUUAGAUACCCUGGUAGUCCACGCCGUAAACGAUGAUUACUAGGUGUGGGGGGACUGACCCCUUCCGUGCCGCAGCAAACGCAAUAAGUAAUCCACCUGGGGAGUACGACCGCAAGGUUGAAACUCAAAGGAAUUGACGGGGGCCCGCACAAGCAGUGGAGUAUGUGGAUUAAUUCGAAGCAACGCGAAGAACCUUACCAGGUCUUGACAUCGUAUGCAUAGCUCAGAGAUGAGUGAAAUCUCUUCGGAGACAUAUAGACAGGUGGUGCAUGGUUGUCGUCAGCUCGUGUCGUGAGAUGUUGGGUUAAGUCCCGCAACGAGCGCAACCCUUACUGUUAGUUGCUACGCAAGAGCACUCUAGCAGGACUGCCGUUGACAAGACGGAGGAAGGUGGGGAUGACGUCAAAUCAUCAUGCCCCUUAUGACCUGGGCCUCACACGUACUACAAUGGCUGUCAACAGAGGGAAGCAAAGCCGCGAGGUGGAGCGAACCCCUAAAAGCAGUCUUAGUUCGGAUUGUAGGCUGCAACCCGCCUACAUGAAGUCGGAAUUGCUAGUAAUCGCAGAUCAGCAUGCUGCGGUGAAUACGUUCCCGGGCCUUGUACACACCGCCCGUCACGCCAUGGGAGUCGGUAACACCCGAAGCCUGUAGUCUAACCGCAAGGAGGACGCAGUCGAAGGUGGGAUUGAUGACUGGGGUGAAGUCGUAACAAGGUA
This 1469-nucleotide ribosomal RNA is filed under the name metagenome. Its description in RNAcentral is "bacterial SSU rRNA". It matches the Rfam family "Bacterial small subunit ribosomal RNA". The record is from RNAcentral.